AGGUAAAGUCUACUGUACCUUUAUCACUGUAGGCACUCGGUCACGCUGUGGGUUUGCCGACCUUAGACGUUUAUCGUCGAGGGUGUGACGUGAGGGAGGGUUGAAUGCCCG
Molecule: regulatory RNA element, 111 nt
Organism: Paenibacillus sp. 32O-W
Lineage: Bacteria; Bacillati; Bacillota; Bacilli; Caryophanales; Paenibacillaceae
Rfam family: epsC RNA
Source: Rfam